RNAcentral lists this ribosomal RNA (462 nucleotides) under uncultured bacterium. RNAcentral's name for it is "bacterial SSU rRNA". It matches the Rfam family "Bacterial small subunit ribosomal RNA", at positions 29 to 534 of the family's 1533-position model. The record is from RNAcentral.
AACGAACGCUGGCGGCAUGCCUAACACAUGCAAGUCGAACGAGACCUUCGGGUCUAGUGGCGCACGGGUGCGUAACACGUGGGAAUUUGCCUCGGGGUAUGGAAUAAACUCAGGGAAACUUGAGCUAAUACCAUAUAAUGUCUUCGGACCAAAGAUUUAUCGCCCUGAGAUAAGCCCGCGUAGGAUUAGCUAGUUGGUGAGGUAAAGGCUCACCAAGGCGACGAUCCUUAGCUGGUCUGAGAGGAUGAUCAGCCACACUGGGACUGAGACACGGCCCAGACUCCUACGGGAGGCAGCAGUGGGGAAUAUUGGACAAUGGGCGAAAGCCUGAUCCAGCAAUGCCGCGUGAGUGAUGAAGGCCUUAGGGUUGUAAAGCUCUUUUACCCGGGUAUGAUAAUGACAGUACCGGGAGAAUAAGCUCCGGCUAACUCCGUGCCAGCAGCCGCGGUAAAGUAGUCGUGU